This 887-nucleotide ribosomal RNA is filed under the name uncultured crenarchaeote. RNAcentral describes it as "bacterial SSU rRNA". It matches the Rfam family "Archaeal small subunit ribosomal RNA", at positions 30 to 922 of the family's 1478-position model. The record is from RNAcentral. Lineage: Archaea; Thermoproteati; Thermoproteota.
CUAUCAGAGUGAGAUUAAGCCAUGCGAGUCAACGUAUGAAUAAUACGUGGCGAACGGCUCAGUAACACGUAGUCAACAUGCCCAAAGGACGUGGAUAACCUCGGGAAACUGAGGAUAAACCGCGAUAGGUCAUAAUUACUGGAAUGUAUUAUGGCCCAAAUCUAUAUGGCCUUUGGAUUGGACUGCGGCCGAUCAGGCCGUUGGUGAGGUAAUGGCCCACCAAACCUUUUACCGGUACGGGCUCUGAGAGGAGGAGCCCGGAGAUGGGCACUGAGACAAGGGCCCAGGCCCUAUGGGGCGCAGCAGGCGCGAAACCUCUGCAAUAGGCGAAAGCCUGACAGGGUUACUCUGAGUGAUUCCCGCUAAGGGAAUCUUUUGGCAUCUCUAAAAAUGGUGCAGAAUAAGGGGUGGGCAAGUCUGGUGUCAGCCGCCGCGGUAAUACCAGCACCCCGAGUGGUCGGGACGAUUAUUGGGCCUAAAGCAUCCGUAGCCGGUCUUGCAAGUCUUCCGUUAAAUCCAGCUGCUUAACAGAUGGGCUGCGGAGGAUACUACAAGGCUAGGAGGCGGGAGAGGCAAGCGGUACUCAGUGGGUAGGGGUAAAAUCCUCUGAUCCAUUGAAGACCACCAGUGGCGAAGGCGGCUCGCCAGAACGCGCUCGACGGUGAGGGAUGAAAGCUGGGGGAGCAAACCGGAUUAGAUACCCGGGUAGUCCCAGCUGUAAACGAUGCAGACUCGGUGAUGGGCCGGCUUUAUGCCGGCUCAGCGCCGCAGGGAAGCCGUUAAGUCUGCCGCCUGGGGAGUACGGUCGCAAGACUGAAACUUAAAGGAAUUGGCGGGGGGGCACCACAAGGGGUGAAGCCUGCGGUUCAAUUGGAUUCAACGCCGGG